GGAUUAAUUAUGAAAAUAUCACAAAAUAAAAGGGUAGAACACAAAAGGUACUUCAAAAAUGUUAAUAUAGAUAACAUAUAUAAAAUAGAAAAUACAUAACAUAUCUAUGCUGGUUAAAAAACAUAUUUUAUUUUAUUUUAUUGAUAAAUCACACAAUAUGUGAAUUCAAACUUAUUUAAUUACACACACUAACAAAAUUUGCACAAAAGUGAUUUGUACUUAUUUAGUAUUGUUAUAUAUAUAUAUAUAUAUAUAUAUAUAUAUAUAUAUAUAUACAUUUACUACCAAUUUUUAUUCAAUGAAUUUUUAAACUUGGUGAUUUGAUGAUGGUCUUACACAAGUAUGGCUUAAUCUUUGAGACAAGGAUAUGACUAUUGGCAGGAUCAACCAUGAAGCCUUCAUCGGCGAUUCCCCGCCACGUUUAAUUUUCGUAUCCACAAUAAAAUCUGCAGUGGCAUUCUGGUUGUCCUUUAUUGGGUGCAAGCGUCUUUGGCCGGCAAGUACCAACCCCGCCGGUGGAUUUCUUGUUACAUAGAGAGCCACACAAUUCCCAGUCACAUUUUCCACCCUUGGAAGCAUCUUUUAGAACUUCAAAACAAGUACUUUGUCCCAACGUUUCCUUCACCAUCACCCCUAAUUGUACGUAGUAAAAUAUUCA
This 658-nucleotide long non-coding RNA is filed under the name Capsella rubella. Its description in RNAcentral is "long non-coding RNA (CRUB_LNC002364)". The record is from RNAcentral. Lineage: Eukaryota; Viridiplantae; Streptophyta; Magnoliopsida; Brassicales; Brassicaceae.